Pectinophora gossypiella (pink bollworm) is the source of this 72-nucleotide non-coding RNA. The record is from the annotation of a RefSeq genome assembly. NCBI's taxonomy places the organism in Eukaryota, Metazoa, Arthropoda, Insecta, Lepidoptera, Gelechiidae.
GCCGCUGUGGUCCAGUGGUUGAGCAAUGGACUCUUGAUCCGGAGGCCCCGGGUUCGAUUCCCGGUGGAGACA